GUCUAUGGCCAUGCCACCACAAGCCUGAUGUCUGAUCUCGGACGCUAAGCAGGGUCGGGCCUGGUUAGUAUUUGGAUGGGAGACCACCUAGGAAGACCAGGCGCUGUAGGCA
Molecule: ribosomal RNA, 112 nt
Filed under: Pteropus alecto (black flying fox)
Lineage: Eukaryota; Metazoa; Chordata; Mammalia; Chiroptera; Pteropodidae
Source: RNAcentral